Non-coding RNA from Mycena metata, 99 nucleotides. The record is from the annotation of a GenBank genome assembly. Lineage: Eukaryota; Fungi; Basidiomycota; Agaricomycetes; Agaricales; Mycenaceae.
GCCUGCAUAGAUCAAUUGGUUAGAUCGCCUUCCAAAUUUGAGGUUGAUAUAUUCCGGAACUAUAUGCAGGAGACGGAGGUUUGAAUCCUCCUGUGGGCA